CAAUAGCGUAUAUUAAAGUUGUUGCAGUUAAAAAGCUCGUAGUUGGAUUUCUGGUGGGAGCGAUCGGUCUGGCGCUUAGCGCGAGUACUUGCAUCGUCUCCGGCCAUCCUUGGGGAGAGUCUGUCUGGCAUUAGGUUGUCAGGCAGAGGAUCCUCAUCGUUUACUGUGAAAAAAUUAGAGUGUUCAAAGCAGGCUUAUGCCGUUGAAUAUAUUAGCAUGGAAUAAUAAGAUAGGACUUUGGUACUAUUUUGUUGGUUUGCGCACCAAAGUAAUGAUUAAUAGGGACAGUUGGGGGUAUUCGUAUUCCGUUGUCAGAGGUGAAAUUCUUGGAUUUACGGAAGACGAACUACUGCGAAAGCAUUUACCAAGGAUGUUUUCAUUAA
This 383-nucleotide ribosomal RNA is filed under the name uncultured eukaryote. RNAcentral's name for it is "partial 18S ribosomal RNA". It matches the Rfam family "Eukaryotic small subunit ribosomal RNA", at positions 592 to 976 of the family's 1831-position model. The record is from RNAcentral.